GUGACUUUCCAGCUCAUUGAUAUUGGAUUCUGAUAGAUUGGGAUUCCAAGUAUACUGAUGCCAGUCUUUAAGCAUGAGGAGCCUCACAGGAAGUGGAUGUUUAUGAGGCUUGCCUUUUUCAGGCCUUGUGCCCCCUAUGCCUCUGCUGGUAGGCACACAUCUUAGUUACAUUGCCCGCAUCUAAGGUUCAGAGGCGCUAACCUUUGGGCCUGGUGUGCCUUGGGCCUGAGGCACACCUUCGACAUUUAUGGGCACCGAAGACUUAAGCGAUUGAGGCUAGCUAGGUAUAAUGCAAAGCUG
RNAcentral lists this unclassified non-coding RNA (300 nucleotides) under Hevea brasiliensis (rubber tree). Lineage: Eukaryota; Viridiplantae; Streptophyta; Magnoliopsida; Malpighiales; Euphorbiaceae. The record is from RNAcentral.